AACGUACUUUUAGAGUAGCAAUUAUUUUAAAAGGAGUGGCGCGACGGGUGAGUAACACGUAGGUAAUCUGCCUUCAGGACUGACACAACUCGUCGAAAGACGGGCUAAUAUCAGAUAAUGCAGCGGCUCCGCAUGGAGACAGUUGUUAAAGUACAAGCGCCUGAAGAUGAGCCUGCGGUCCAUUAGCUAGUUGGUAGAGUAACAGCCUACCAAGGCAACGAUGGAUAGCUGGUCUGAGAGGAUGAUCAGCCACACUGGAACUGAGACACGGUCCAGACUCCUACGGGAGGCAGCAGUAAGGAAUAUUGCUCAAUGGCCGAAAGGCUGAAGCAGCAACGCCGCGUGAAGGAUGAAUGGCCUUUGGCCUGUAAACUUCUGUAAAAGGGAAAACAAUCAGGCAUGUCCUGAUUUGAUUGUACCUUUGAAGUAAGCCCCGGCUAACUACGUG
Molecule: ribosomal RNA, 448 nt
Filed under: uncultured bacterium
Lineage: Bacteria
Description: bacterial SSU rRNA
Rfam family: Bacterial small subunit ribosomal RNA
Source: RNAcentral